CUCUGGUAUUGAUUGGUGCUUGCAUCAUGAUUUACAUUUGAGUGAGUGGCGAACUGGUGAGUAACACGUGGGAAACCUGCCCAGAAGCGGGGGAUAACACCUGGAAACAGAUGCUAAUACCGCAUAACAACUUGGACCGCAUGGUCCGAGCUUGAAAGAUGGCUUCGGCUAUCACUUUUGGAUGGUCCCGCGGCGUAUUAGCUAGAUGGUGGGGUAACGGCUCACCAUGGCAAUGAUACGUAGCCGACCUGAGAGGGUAAUCGGCCACAUUGGGACUGAGACACGGCCCAAACUCCUACGGGAGGCAGCAGUAGGGAAUCUUCCACAAUGGACGAAAGUCUGAUGGAGCAACGCCGCGUGAGUGAAGAAGGGUUUCGGCUCGUAAAACUCUGUUGUUAAAGAAGAACAUAUCUGAGAGUAACUGUUCAGGUAUUGACGGUAUUUAACCAGAAAGCCACGGCUAACUACGUGCCAGCAGCCGCGGUAAUACGUAGGUGGCAAGCGUUGUCCGGAUUUAUUGGGCGUAAAGCGAGCGCAGGCGGUUUUUUAAGUCUGAUGUGAAAGCCUUCGGCUCAACCGAAGAAGUGCAUCGGAAACUGGGAAACUUGAGUGCAGAAGAGGACAGUGGAACUCCAUGUGUAGCGGUGAAAUGCGUAGAUAUAUGGAAGAACACCAGUGGCGAAGGCGGCUGUCUGGUCUGUAACUGACGCUGAGGCUCGAAAGUAUGGGUAGCAAACAGGAUUAGAUACCCUGGUAGUCCAUACCGUAAACGAUGAAUGCUAAGUGUUGGAGGGUUUCCGCCCUUCAGUGCUGCAGCUAACGCAUUAAGCAUUCCGCCUGGGGAGUACGGCCGCAAGGCUGAAACUCAAAGGAAUUGACGGGGGCCCGCACAAGCGGUGGAGCAUGUGGUUUAAUUCGAAGCUACGCGAAGAACCUUACCAGGUCUUGACAUACUAUGCAAAUCUAAGAGAUUAGACGUUCCCUUCGGGGACAUGGAUACAGGUGGUGCAUGGUUGUCGUCAGCUCGUGUCGUGAGAUGUUGGGUUAAGUCCCGCAACGAGCGCAACCCUUAUUAUCAGUUGCCAGCAUUAAGUUGGGCACUCUGGUGAGACUGCCGGUGACAAACCGGAGGAAGGUGGGGAUGACGUCAAAUCAUCAUGCCCCUUAUGACCUGGGCUACACACGUGCUACAAUGGAUGGUACAACGAGUUGCGAACUCGCGAGAGUAAGCUAAUCUCUUAAAGCCAUUCUCAGUUCGGAUUGUAGGCUGCAACUCGCCUACAUGAAGUCGGAAUCGCUAGUAAUCGCGGAUCAGCAUGCCGCGGUGAAUACGUUCCCGGGCCUUGUACACACCGCCCGUCACACCAUGAGAGUUUGUAACACCCAAAGUCGGUGGGGUAA
Molecule: ribosomal RNA, 1401 nt
Filed under: Lactiplantibacillus pentosus
Lineage: Bacteria; Bacillati; Bacillota; Bacilli; Lactobacillales; Lactobacillaceae
Also listed under: 2 other names
Description: bacterial SSU rRNA
Rfam family: Bacterial small subunit ribosomal RNA
Source: RNAcentral